GACGAACGCUGGCGGCGUGCUUAACACAUGCAAGUCGAGCGGUAAGGCCCUUUCGGGGGUACACGAGCGGCGAACGGGUGAGUAACACGUGGGUGACCUGCCCUCAGCUCUGGGAUAAGCCUGGGAAACCGGGUCUAAUACCGGAUAUGACUCCAUGACGCAUGUUGUGGGGUGGAAAGCCUUGUGCGGCUGAGGAUGGGCCCGCGGCCUAUCAGCUUGUUGGUGGGGUGAUGGCCUACCAAGGCGACGACGGGUAGCCGGCCUGAGAGGGCGACCGGCCACACUGGGACUGAGACACGGCCCAGCCUCCUACGGGAGGCAGCAGUGGGGAAUCUUGCGCAAUGGGCGAAAGCCUGACGCAGCGACGCCGCGUGAGGGAUGACGGCC
This 387-nucleotide ribosomal RNA is filed under the name uncultured bacterium. RNAcentral's name for it is "bacterial SSU rRNA". It matches the Rfam family "Bacterial small subunit ribosomal RNA", at positions 28 to 416 of the family's 1533-position model. The record is from RNAcentral.